GAUGAAGAACGUAGCGAAAUGCGAUAAGUAAUGUGAAUUGCAGAAUUCAGUGAAUCAUCGAAUCUUUGAACGCACAUUGCGCCCGCCAGUAUUCUGGCGGGCAUGCCUGUUCGAGCGUCAUUUCAACCAUCAAGCCCCCGGCUUGUGUUGGGGACCUGCGGCUGCCGCAGGCCCUGAAAACCAGUGGCGGGCUCGCUAGUCACUCCGAGCGUAGUAAUACAUCUCGCUCAGGGCGUGCUGCGGGUUCCGGCCGUUAAAAGCCUUAUUUAUCCAAGGUUGACCUCGGAUCAGGUAGGAAGACCCGCUGAACUUAAGCAUAUCAAUAAGCGGAGGA
Molecule: unclassified non-coding RNA, 334 nt
Filed under: soil metagenome
Description: partial contains 5.8S ribosomal RNA, internal transcribed spacer 2, and large subunit ribosomal RNA
Rfam family: 5.8S ribosomal RNA (bases 1-120)
Source: RNAcentral